This 467-nucleotide ribosomal RNA is filed under the name uncultured bacterium. Its description in RNAcentral is "partial 16S ribosomal RNA". It matches the Rfam family "Bacterial small subunit ribosomal RNA", at positions 28 to 507 of the family's 1533-position model. The record is from RNAcentral.
GACGAACGCUGGCGGCGUGCUUAACACAUGCAAGUCGAACGGAAAGGCCUCUUUCGGGGGGUACUCGAGUGGCGAACGGGUGAGUAACACGUGAGUAACCUGCCCUUGACUUUGGGAUAACUUCAGGAAACUGGGGCUAAUACCGGAUAGGAGCUCCUGCUGCAUGGUGGGGGUUGGAAAGUUUCGGCGGUUGGGGAUGGACUCGCGGCUUAUCAGCUUGUUGGUGGGGUAGUGGCUUACCAAGGCUUUGACGGGUAGCCGGCCUGAGAGGGUGACCGGCCACAUUGGGACUGAGAUACGGCCCAGGCUCCUACGGGAGGCAGCAGUGGGGAAUAUUGCACAAUGGGUGGAAGCCUGAUGCAGCAACGCCGUGUGCGGGAUGACGGCCUUCGGGUUGUAAACCGCUUUCGCUCAUGACGAAGCUUUGUGUGACGGUAGUGGGUAAAGAAGCACCGGCUAACUACGUG